AGGAUUGCCUGAAUUUGUAGAACCUGGAACUCCAAGUGCACUGAGAUCAAGAGGCUGUGUGGAGAUUGGCAUCUGAGAAGCCUGACUUGCAGACUGUGGUAGGACAGCAGCCUGACCCAUGGAUUGUGGCAUGCCAGCAGCCUGACCCAUGGAUUGAGCUGGGACAGUAGCCUGACCCAUGGGUUGUGGCAGGCCAGCAGCCUGACCCAUGGCUUGUGGUGGGACACCACCAUCUGGCAGUCCAAUGGAUUCCAGAGGAAUAACAGGUUGUUGAGUGGCU
Molecule: long non-coding RNA, 280 nt
Filed under: Vitis vinifera (wine grape)
Lineage: Eukaryota; Viridiplantae; Streptophyta; Magnoliopsida; Vitales; Vitaceae
Description: long non-coding RNA (VVIN_LNC007920)
Source: RNAcentral